AUUGAACGCUGGCGGCAUGCUUUACACAUGCAAGUCGAACGGUAACAGGUUAAGCUGACGAGUGGCGAACGGGUGAGUAAUGCAUCGGAACGUGCCCGGUCGUGGGGGAUAACGCAGCGAAAGCUGCGCUAAUACCGCAUACGACCUGAGGGUGAAAGCAGGGGAUCGCAAGACCUUGCGUUAUACGAGCGGCCGAUGUCAGAUUAGCUAGUUGGUGAGGUAAAGGCUCACCAAGGCGACGAUCUGUAGCGGGUCUGAGAGGAUGAUCCGCCACACUGGGACUGAGACACGGCCCAGACUCCUACGGGAGGCAGCAGUGGGGAAUUUUGGACAAUGGGGGCAACCCUGAUCCAGCCAUGCCGCGUGAGUGAAGAAGGCCUUCGGGUUGUAAAGCUCUUUCGGCCGGGAAGAAAUCGCACAGGCUAAUACUCUGUGUGGAUGACGGUACCGGCAUAAGAAGCACCGGCUAACUACGUGCCAGCAGCCGCGGUAA
This 493-nucleotide ribosomal RNA is filed under the name uncultured bacterium. RNAcentral's name for it is "partial 16S ribosomal RNA". It matches the Rfam family "Bacterial small subunit ribosomal RNA", at positions 30 to 523 of the family's 1533-position model. The record is from RNAcentral.